Molecule: ribosomal RNA, 496 nt
Filed under: uncultured bacterium
Lineage: Bacteria
Description: partial 16S ribosomal RNA
Rfam family: Bacterial small subunit ribosomal RNA
Source: RNAcentral
GAUGAACGCUGGCGGCGUGCCUAAUACAUGCAAGUCGAGCGAACGGACGAGAAGCUUGCUUCUCUGAUGUUAGCGGCGGACGGGUGAGUAACACGUGGAUAACCUACCUAUAAGACUGGGAUAACUUCGGGAAACCGGAGCUAAUACCGGAUAAUAUUUUGAACCGCAUGGUUCAAAAGUGAAAGACGGUCUUGCUGUCACUUAUAGAUGGAUCCGCGCUGCAUUAGCUAGUUGGUAAGGUAACGGCUUACCAAGGCAACGAUGCAUAGCCGACCUGAGAGGGUGAUCGGCCACACUGGAACUGAGACACGGUCCCGACUCCUACGGGAGGCAGCCGUAGGGAAUCUUCCGCAAUGGCGAAAGCCUGACGGAGCAACGCCGCGUGAGUGAUGAAGGUCUUCGGAUCGUAAAACUCUGUUAUUAGGGAAGAACAUAUGUGUAAGUAACUGUGCACAUCUUGACGGUACCUAAUCAGAAAGCCACGGCUAACUACGUG